Molecule: long non-coding RNA, 525 nt
Filed under: Numida meleagris (helmeted guineafowl)
Lineage: Eukaryota; Metazoa; Chordata; Aves; Galliformes; Numididae
Description: lncRNA (ENSNMEG00000004990.1)
Source: RNAcentral
CUGCAGCUGGAAUUAUUAAGAUGAAAGUUCAAGGUGUGAAGGAAAUUUGCUCCUUUGUAUUAAGUGAAUUCCCUAGGUUGUUACAGAGAAAGAAAAAGCUAUAAUAAAGGCUGAAUGCUGGAUACAUGUUUUAACUACUGUCUGAGUAUCUCAGUUUGAUAUUAAGCAGAUCAUUAGGUAAACAUAAGAAGUCAUCUCUCCAGGCUGCAGAGUUUGAGGCCAACUCCUGUGUAUUCUCUGAUCUCUCAGUGUAACACCCACUGAUUCUUAUGCAAUAAAGCCGCCAAACGCAGUCUUGGUCAGUACAAUAUGGUCGCCUGUUUGACACACUGUAACAGACUCUCAGCUUUUGUAAAGGGUACAAGCCUCAUCAGCUUCACUGGAAUUACUCUGCUAUCAAAGCAGAGCUCACAGCUCCUCUCUGAGCUGCUUAGACCUGGGUACUGCAUCCAUGCUUCAGGAUUUUCAGCCUCUUACAUGUGGAUUCUGUCAUUACUCCAUUCUUCAUGUGCAAUUCACUUCAGG